AUGACUGAGUGUCCAGCCCACCUUUAUCUUACACACAAGGAUGCGUGGUGGAGAGUUGAAUGCUUCGACGACAACCACAACCACCCACUGAUCAGAAAGCCUUCCCUGACAAAAUUUCUAGCAUCACAUUGGAACAUUCUCAAAGACGAGAAGGACUUCUUAUGGAUUCUGCACGAAUGCAACAUAUAGACCGCGAGGCAAAUGCAACUAGUUUCAUGGUUCUAUGGUGCUGCUGAGAAUGUACCAUACACAACGCAGGACCUUGCGAAUCAACGAGCCAAAUUUCGUAAGGAGUACCGUAAUGCGGACGUGGGGAGCACGAUUACAUACUUUGAGGAGCUGAGGGCAAACGAUCCAGAUUUCUAUUAGAGAAUGAAACUUGAUGACAAAGACAGGGUGGAAAACGUGUUCUGGAUAGAUGGUUGUGGUUUCAUUCGAAACAAACCGACUAACAACUUUGUGUGGUUGUUUAACACAUUAUUGCAUGCGAUGGGUGGGGUUGCGCCAAAGAACAUAAUCAUAGAUCAGGACUUUGCCAUGAGGAAUGCUAUUGAUGAGGUGUUCAUCAGGAUAGUACACAGAAAUUGCAGAUGGCACAUUAUGAAGAAAGCACAGGAGAAGCUUGGGAGGCUAAUGGCUGAUGAUCAACCACUGAACAAAGCAUUCAAAGAUUACUUCUUCCCGUUCUUGCAGACCACGACAAGGAGCGAGGGAUUCAACGUUGUGUUGAAGAAGUACGUCAACCCAAAUAACUCACUGGUUGAAUUUGCAAAACAGUACACUGUGGUCCAGGAGAAGGUGAUGGUGAGCGUGGCAAAAGAGCAAUUGGAAAUAGUGUACAAAGAGGUGGAAACAUACUCGUUCAACCCACUCGAGUUACAGGUGUGGGGCCUCUACACGGAUAAUCUUUUCUCCAAAUUCCAGAUGGAGAUGAAGGUGAAAACUGACUACAGAUGUGACACAUUGCAAAAUGUGUCAUUCAAGGUCGGCUCAGUCAGAGGAAUCAUACCAAAAUAUGGGGAGAGGGAUUACCAUGUGCAAGCAAACAAGGAUUAA
Molecule: ribosomal RNA, 1056 nt
Filed under: Triticum aestivum (bread wheat)
Lineage: Eukaryota; Viridiplantae; Streptophyta; Magnoliopsida; Poales; Poaceae
Description: partial small subunit ribosomal RNA
Source: RNAcentral